Molecule: long non-coding RNA, 860 nt
Filed under: Heterocephalus glaber (naked mole-rat)
Lineage: Eukaryota; Metazoa; Chordata; Mammalia; Rodentia; Bathyergidae
Description: lncRNA (ENSHGLG00000038648.1)
Source: RNAcentral
GUAUUUCAUUUUUGUUUUCCUUUUCCCUCUUCUCUCUGAUUGUGAGAACAUCAGAAGAGCAGUUGGUCACAAUCAGAGAUACGCCAGAGUGGGAAGCACGAUUUGAUUUCCUUGGUGAACCCCAACUCAGGGCUGCUCAAGACCCCAUCCCAUCUCCUUUCCACUCUUAAUUCUACUCCAUUGCUCCUUCUGUCCUUCCAUUGCUCCCUCUAAGGCUGUCAGUUAUUGUCGUUGUCCAGUGGUCAUUUGACCAUCACUAAUGGUGACUCAACCAGAAGUUGUCUGUUUUGUUUUGCAGUAUGAAUGUCAUGUUAUCGCCCAGAAAGUAUUCUAACCCCAAGGGUUUAACUCACUUCUCUCGCAUCUUUAGUUAGAACUUCCAGUUUUCAGGAAAUACAGAGGACAGAGGAUCAAGAAAAGGGCAUCCUAAGGAACUGGUGAUUCUGGUGCACGCAAAGUUCGGAGAGUCCCACACUAGAGCGAUGCUUAAUAAACCUGCGCUGUUUCCAAUGGUAACCAGGGGUGAAUAUGAAGAAAGCCAGACCUCAGGAUGGAAAAGCAAUAACCAGGCCUGCAUGUCUCCCUGGAGAUAAACAGCAACUUGAGACUAGACUGCAAUUGGCACCACCAAGACCAGUGAGCCCAGACAGGCAUUAGGCACACAGGCAUAAUGCUUACAACAUGGCAGAGAAGCUCAGUGAAUCUGUGUUGAAUGAAGGUCCCCUUGCAGAAAUAUCAGUAUUGAAUACAACAUUGUACUUAAAAAUGAGUAAAUUAGAGCUACGUGUAUUAACAUGGAUAAGUCUCAAAAGUAUACAUUUAAAACAGCAAGUGUAAUGGUUAGGAUUCUCUAGAGGAAC